GACAGAGGUUGCAAACGUUGUUCGGAAUUACUGGGCAUAAAGCGCACGUAGGUGGUCCGCUAAGUCGUGUGUGAAAUGCCCCGGCUCAACCGGGGAAUUGCGCACGAUACUGGCGGGCUUGAGGUCGGGAGGGGUGAGUGGAACUCCUGGUGGAGCGGUGAAAUGCGUAGAUAUCUGGAGGAACACCGGUGGCGAAGGCGGCGUUCUGGACUGUUUCUGACACUGAAAAACGAAAGCCAGGGGAGCAAACGGG
This 253-nucleotide ribosomal RNA is filed under the name uncultured bacterium. Its description in RNAcentral is "partial 16S ribosomal RNA". It matches the Rfam family "Bacterial small subunit ribosomal RNA", at positions 524 to 776 of the family's 1533-position model. The record is from RNAcentral.